RNAcentral lists this ribosomal RNA (1372 nucleotides) under uncultured bacterium. RNAcentral describes it as "bacterial SSU rRNA". It matches the Rfam family "Bacterial small subunit ribosomal RNA", at positions 28 to 1381 of the family's 1533-position model. The record is from RNAcentral.
GAUGAACGCUGGCGGCGUGCCUAAUACAUGCAAGUCGAGCGAACGGACGAGAAGCUUGCUUCUCUGAUGUUAGCGGCGGACGGGUGAGUAACACGUGGAUAACCUACCUAUAAGACUGGGAUAACUUCGGGAAACCGGAGCUAAUACCGGAUAAUAUUUUGAACCGCAUGGUUCAAAAGUGAAAGACGGUCUUGCUGUCACUUAUAGAUGGAUCCGCGCUGCAUUAGCUAGUUGGUAAGGUAACGGCUUACCAAGGCAACGAUGCAUAGCCGACCUGAGAGGGUGAUCGGCCACACUGGAACUGAGACACGGUCCAGACUCCUACGGGAGGCAGCAGUAGGGAAUCUUCCGCAAUGGGCGAGAGCCUGACGGAGCAACGCCGCGUGAGUGAUGAAGGUCUUCGGAUCGUAAAACUCUGUUAUUAGGGAAGAACAUAUGUGUAAGUAACUGUGCACAUCUUGACGGUACCUAAUCAGAAAGCCACGGCUAACUACGUGCCAGCAGCCGCGGUAAUACGUAGGUGGCAAGCGUUAUCCGGAAUUAUUGGGCGUAAAGCGCGCGUAGGCGGUUUUUUAAGUCUGAUGUGAAAGCCCACGGCUCAACCGUGGAGGGCCAUUGGAAACUGGAAAACUUGAGUGCAGAAGAGGAAAGUGGAAUUCCAUGUGUAGCGGUGAAAUGCGCAGAGAUAUGGAGGAACACCAGUGGCGAAGGCGACUUUCUGGUCUGUAACUGACGCUGAUGUGCGAAAGCGUGGGGAUCAAACAGGAUUAGAUACCCUGGUAGUCCACGCCGUAAACGAUGAGUGCUAAGUGUUAGGGGGUUUCCGCCCCUUAGUGCUGCAGCUAACGCAUUAAGCACUCCGCCUGGGGAGUACGACCGCAAGGUUGAAACUCAAAGGAAUUGACGGGGACCCGCACAAGCGGUGGAGCAUGUGGUUUAAUUCGAAGCAACGCGAAGAACCUUACCAAAUCUUGACAUCCUUUGACAACUCUAGAGAUAGAGCUUUCCCCUUCGGGGGACAAAGUGACAGGUGGUGCAUGGUUGUCGUCAGCUCGUGUCGUGAGAUGUUGGGUUAAGUCCCGCAACGAGCGCAACCCUUAAGCUUAGUUGCCAUCAUUAAGUUGGGCACUCUAAGUUGACUGCCGGUGACAAACCGGAGGAAGGUGGGGAUGACGUCAAAUCAUCAUGCCCCUUAUGAUUUGGGCUACACACGUGCUACAAUGGACAAUACAAAGGGCAGCGAAACCGCGAGGUCAAGCAAAUCCCAUAAAGUUGUUCUCAGUUCGGAUUGUAGUCUGCAACUCGACUACAUGAAGCUGGAAUCGCUAGUAAUCGUAGAUCAGCAUGCUACGGUGAAUACGUUCCCGGGUCU